Ipomoea triloba (trilobed morning glory) is the source of this 328-nucleotide long non-coding RNA. RefSeq lists it as uncharacterized. Lineage: Eukaryota; Viridiplantae; Streptophyta; Magnoliopsida; Solanales; Convolvulaceae. The transcript has 3 exons. The record is from RefSeq and is a predicted model, not a curated record.
GCUACCACUUGCAACCGUGCCUCCAUGGUGGCAGCCAAAGAAUUAAUUUGUUCUCCUAUUUGCCCUUGUAAUUAACCUGGCUUCAUAGGUAAGGGGUUCUCUCAACCACAGCACCAGUGAUACAACUUGAAAGUUGAAUCAAGAGGUCAUUUUUAAGCAAAGGUAUCACCUGGGGUGCAAUGAACUAUGAGAUAUGGUGGCAUUUGAAGCAAAAUUUCCUUCUUGGAGAUGGUUUAGUUCCAAGGUUUUCUCAUCAAAAGGAGGACUACUAGGAUGUGGUAACUCUUCUUUCUUCAACAGCAUUUGUAACACCAUAGACAUGGACGGC